Oryctolagus cuniculus (rabbit) is the source of this 2146-nucleotide non-coding RNA. Lineage: Eukaryota; Metazoa; Chordata; Mammalia; Lagomorpha; Leporidae. The record is from RefSeq and is a predicted model, not a curated record.
GUCCUCAAGGACUUGGGCUGGGCUGCCUGAAGGAGCUCUCAGCUACUAAGUGGGGGCAGGGCCGGGAGAAGCUGGGUUUCUAAUUUACAUCUGUGAAUCUCAACUAAUGGAGAAAACCAAAGAUGAGCAUUUUAUGGGAGUGUGGCCUCCUUGUCUACUUGGUUAUUCAUAGCAGAUUUUCUUGGAAUUCAUGUUCCCACUCUGUUGCCGUUAAUGGGGCAGACCACUUUGUCAGAAUUUAAGUGCUUCUAUUUAGGGGAGAUUGUGACAUUUAUUUGGCAACAUUAGGAGAUUGAUUAGAAUCAUGAAGGGCAAGGAAAACUCAAUCCUGUGAGAGCCCACAGUUACUUAAGAAAAGUGUGGGAAAAUGAGGAUUUAGAGCUCAUUAUAAAGUGUUUCUCCAAAGACUUUCACAGCCACGAAAGUCGUUUCCUAUUAUUUUGCUAUCUUUCAUUCUGCUAACAUUCCUCAGAAAUUUGUAAUUGCAGCCAGAGGGCUAAUUUCAGGUCCGUUACCAUCUUCAGUGACAUUGCCUGAAAGGUCUAUGGUUGGCGCUUUCUUAAGAUGUGUGUGAGAACUUUCAGUUUCUUCUGAUGGACUCAAGUUUGCUAUCAAAGAACAAGUAAGUUCUACACCAAGGACCCCUGAUUAGAGGGCAUCUUCCCCAGCCACAACGCUACCUAAGAAAUCAAGAACCUGUUUACUAUAAGAACAAAGUCUGGACCCAAGACUUAAUAACCAGUAGAGUAGGAGUGACAGCAUCCCAACAACCAGGCAAGGAGCCAUGAGAAGAAGACUGGCAGCUCUGCUGGGGCUUCUGUUGGCUCAAAUUUUCUCAGGGGCAAAGGGACUGGAGGUGAAGCAGAGUCCUUCAUGGCUGAGUGUCCAGGAGGGUGCCAGCCCUACCCUGAACUGCACUUUUUCUGCUUCAGUGAGAAGUGUACAGUGGUUCCAACAAAAUCCUGGGAGCAGCCUCAUCAGUCUUUUCUUCAUAUCUUCAGGGACAAAGCAGAACAGAAGGUUGAAGGCAACAGUUAACUCUCAGGAGCGCUACAGCACCCUCCACAUCACAACCACCCAGGUGGAAGACUCAGGCACCUACCUCUGUGCAGCAGAGGCACAGUGAUGCCAGGGCGUCUGUAACCUGGACCCAAACUGCAGCUGGUCCUCAGCCCCAGCCCUACCACAGGAGAGGCACGUGCCUUCUGCAUAGCAUUUGUGCUGCUUUGGGUUUUCUGAUUGAUGUUGGAGCACUUAUAUCUCUGCUAAGUUAGACAUUUCAGAAGUGUCAUUUCACUUGGUUUUCAUAUGCUUUUCUUCCCAGAAAUCACUGUACAGGAGUGAAGUUCUAAUAUGGAAUCAUGGAACAACUGAUAAAGAUGUCAAUGCAUUGUAUUGUCACAAUGGACUCGCUGGUGGAGCAUACAUAACUUACAUAUAAAGUGCUGUGAUGAGAAGGAGAACUUGGAAAAAUACAUAGUAGUCUACAAAUAGAAAUGUCUCAAUGCCUCAAUUAAUUGUAGGUAGUUCAAGUUUCUAGGAAAAAGGAAGAGCAUGUGAGAUGUAUAUGUGUAUGUAUACAGUAAGUGAAAAAUAUUUAAUGUCAUUCAGUGUCAGGCACUGUAUGUAGGCUAUUACAUGCAUGAUCUAAGUACUGACAAUACCUCUCCACUUUGCACACAACUAAAUUCGGUACUAUACAGUAUAAGUAAUCUAUCUGAUCACAUAACUAUGGAAAUGGGGUGGUUGGAUUCCCACUGAGUAAAUUUGACAUCAUAGCAUUUACUCUGAGCUAUGCUGUAUAGAAGAGUCCAGAAUCACAAUAUGCAUAUGAGUUGUACUGAUUUAAUCUAUACAGUGUGCUUACAUACAUCAUUGACAAAAAUGUUCUUUUUUAGUCCUUUCUAAAUAGCGCUUUAUCAGGUAGAGCUCAUUGAACUUCUCAUUUUGUUACAUUAAAAUCCAUUUUCAUUUCUUGUGUUUUGAAUGAGUCUAUUAUCCAUGAUUUUGUAACAUCAUUCAAGGUCUGAGAUACAAAUCAGAAAGCUUCCACAACUACUUUAAAGAAAUCCGUAUCUGCUGUAGCCACAAAUUGAGAUGUCUGACAAAUCAAAACCAAAGUUUAAACAUGCAGUGGUUCAAUGAC